CUGGCUCAAGACGAACGCUGGCGGCGUGCCUAACACAUGCAAGUCGAACGGAGAUACGCGCUGAAUGGAUGGAGCUUGCUUUUGAAAUUCUUGUGUAUCUUAGUGGCGGACGGGUGAGUAACGCGUGAGCAACCUGCCUUUCAGAGGGGGAUAACGUUUGGAAACGAACGCUAAUACCGCAUGAGACCACAGUACUGCAUAGUACAGUGGCCAAAGGAGCAAUCCGCUGAAAGAUGGGCUCGCGUCCGAUUAGAUAGUUGGCGGGGUAACGGCCCACCAAGUCGACGAUCGGUAGCCGGACUGAGAGGUUGAACGGCCACAUUGGGACUGAGACACGGCCCAGACUCCUACGGGAGGCAGCAGUGAGGGAUAUUGGUCAAUGGGGGAAACCCUGAACCAGCAACGCCGCGUGAGGGAAGACGGUUUUCGGAUUGUAAACCUCUGUCCUCUGUGAAGAUAAUGACGGUAGCAGAGGAGGAAGCUCCGGCUAACUACGUGCCAGCAGCCGCGGUAAUACGUAGGGAGCGAGCGUUGUCCGGAUUUACUGGGUGUAAAGGGUGCGUANGCGGCCCUGCAAGUCAGAAGUGAAAUCCAUGGGCUUAACCCGUGAACUGCUUUUGAAACUGCAGGACUUGAGUGGAGUANNAGUAGGCGGAAUUCCCCGUGUAGCGGGUGAAUGCGUANAGAUCGGGAGGGAACA
This 700-nucleotide ribosomal RNA is filed under the name uncultured bacterium. Its description in RNAcentral is "bacterial SSU rRNA". It matches the Rfam family "Bacterial small subunit ribosomal RNA", at positions 19 to 708 of the family's 1533-position model. The record is from RNAcentral.